Long non-coding RNA from Tyto alba (common barn owl), 2179 nucleotides. RefSeq lists it as uncharacterized. The record is from RefSeq and is a predicted model, not a curated record. The transcript has 4 exons. NCBI's taxonomy places the organism in Eukaryota, Metazoa, Chordata, Aves, Strigiformes, Tytonidae.
AGCACAGGCAAGAGUAAGUAUCAACACAGUGAAAAAAAAAGUAUUUUCAGAGAAUACCGAAAGCACCUAUAAAGUUAAAAGGUGAAGAGAUGCAGAAAGACCACUGCUGGGCAUAGAAGCAUUGAAUACUGAACUGCCGAGCGUGAGUGUAUUCAUAGUUCAGGACUGUAUUUUCCAGUAGCAACGUGUUCUUCAUUUGGAGUUUUCACAAGCCACAGCCAUUAUAAAAUGGUAUGUUGCUUUCUUACCUAGGUUUUACCUUCUCACCUAAGCUUUCUUACCUACCUGCCACCACCCUUAUGUAGAAAAACAAACCGAUCUAACAAUACCAACAAACAUCUAGAAAGAACUCGAUCUUCCCAAACACUUUAUACCUUAUUUUAUCUGGAAACAGACAAGAAGAAGAUGGGGUUGAAAAAAAGCCAGGUAUUGUGUUUGGUUUGUGUUUUUUCUUCCUUGAGGGUGAUCCAGACAUGUAGCUUUGCCACCAAGAAGUUUUGUCUAAACUAGAAAAACUCCCAAUUUCAAAAUAACACUCAAGGUGAUACCCUACACGAAACUGUUACCGGGAAGUGAUAAUUAAUUCACUCUCUAAGACUCAAUUUUGGAGUUUUAGAAAGCAGGCAUUCUUGAUUACAGCACUGGACACACAGGGGAGAGCUCCUCCUAAUGCGUGUGUCCGAAAACAGAAUCAACAAGCAUUUAUACUACCUUAAUCAUACACAUUCAUUGCAUUUUUAUCCUAUUCCUAACUUUUCCAGGAAUGCAAUAGCGUAUGUUAAUGUCUGUUGGAGGCUUCUGGUGGUCGUCGGGGGUUCUUCAGGUGAAGGCUCGUAGUCUUCUUCACUGUCUCUGCCAGUUGACCCUGACUGCUGCCUGUGGUCACGUAGAUCUUGUCCCUCCAGGCUGGCCUGGUCUGGUUGUUAAUUUGCAGCUUCAUUACGUUUCUUUGCACCUGCUACUACAAGGCCAAACCGUCUCAAGAUCAUCUAUGAGUUCCUUAUCUUACAGUUAUUCUAUUUCUCAAACGGUUAGUAUUUGUUCUGCAGCACAGUGGUUAAAACAGCUCAAAUUGAUCCUAAUAAUUCCGUUCUACAAAUAUCUAUUUUCUAAUAAUCUUCGUUCACAGGUAUCAAAACAAGCUGCCACGUUUAUGCUAGGGAACUGAAGCCUAUCAUGGUUUUCAUACCUUGGUGGUGUGCGAGGCCAACACUGAAGGUUACUCUGGAAAAAACCCCCAACGCUCCCCCAACAAACAGAAAUAUGGAUUGGAAUGGGGGGAAGGGGGGUGGGCGUCGUACCUGGAGGUGGCACAAAGGGGUGACAAAGAACCGCGGUUCACGAGAGGAUUUGGGUGACCACCUGCCCGCUCCAUCAACCUCCCUGACCCCGCGUCCUUCAUUUUUACCCCCAAAUCCGGAGCGACUCUGGAGCCGGGGGGGGGGGGGGGGGGGAGCGGGUGUGUGUGUUACCGGUGCUACCGCGACCCCUUGUGUAAGUAACACUCUGAAUUCCUAACGGGAACGUUAGUACUUCAGGCAACCGCUUUUACCGGGUGCGCGCCGGGAAAGGCGGCGCCGAGGCCGUGAGGGGAAGCGGGCGGGAGGGGCCGAGACCCCGCGGCCUUGGGGUCCUCGGCCGCGGCGCGCCCGCCCGCCCUCAGGCCGGUAAUGGCGGCGGCCCGCCCGCCCUCAGGCCGGUAAUGGCGGCGCCUCGCCCUCCCGCCCUCAGGCCGGUAAUGGCGGCGGCCCUCCCGCCCUCAGGCCGGUAAUGGCGGCGGCCGGCCCGCCCGCCCUCAGGCCGGUAAUGGCGGCGCCUCGCCCUCCCGCCUCAGUGUCUCCCCCCGGAGCCCCUCACCCGGCUGGCUCCGCAGGCGGACAUCUUGUGGAAUGACCUGGUACACAGAGGGUGAGACGGUCCGGCUGUGGAAGGGGAAUUACGCUGGCUGGAAGCAGGAAUGCCAGGGAGGAGUUUCCUUUGGUGAGGAGAAAUGGAAAGCAACUUGAAUUUUCUUCAGGGAUCGAUGUGGUGCAAGUUACUGAAGCUACUGCCAUAAAAGAACAUUCGUAGUGCUGCAAGGACGAGGUGCCAGCUGGUGGUGAGAUCUGUGCGGGAGUGAAAAUUGGUGCCGGGUACCGGGGUGAGCACCGCUGGGCUGAGUGAGUGGAGUUCCAGUGCA